UGCUCCAGUCCAUCGCAUGGUGGUCUGGGAAAGAUUUUAUCGGCAUGGGAUGGGGUCGCGUCCUAUCAGCUUGUUGGUGGGGUAACGGCCUACCAAGGCGUUGACGGGUAGCCGGCCUGAGAGGGCGACCGGCCACAUUGGGACUGAGAUACGGCCCAGACUCCUACGGGAGGCAGCAGUGGGGAAUAUUGCACAAUGGGCGCAAGCCUGAUGCAGCGACGCCGCGUGCGGGAUGGAGGCCUUCGGGUUGUAAACCGCUUUUGUUCAAGGGCAAGGCACGGUUUCGGCCGUGUUGAGUGGAUUGUUCGAAUAAGCACCGGCUAACUACGUGCCAGCAGCCGCGGUAAUACGUAGGGUGCAAGCGUUAUCCGGAAUUAUUGGGCGUAAAGGGCUCGUAGGCGGUUCGUCGCGUCCGGUGUGAAAGUCCAUCGCUUAACGGUGGAUCCGCGCCGGGUACGGGCGGGCUUGAGUGCGGUAGGGGAGACUGGAAUUCCCGGUGUAACGGUGGAAUGUGUAGAUAUCGGGAAGAACACCAAUGGCGAAGGCAGGUCUCUGGGCCGUCACUGACGCUGAGGAGCGAAAGCGUGGGGAGCGAACAGGAUUAGAUACCCUGGUAGUCCACGCCGUAAACGGUGGGUACUAGGUGUGGGGUCCAUUCCACGGGUUCCGUGCCGUAGCUAACGCUUUAAGUACCCCGCCUGGGGAGUACGGCCGCAAGGCUAAAACUCAAAGGAAUUGACGGGGCCCCGCACAAGCGGCGGAGCAUGCGGAUUAAUUCGAUGCAACGCGAAGAACCUUACCUGGGCUUGACAUGUUCCCGACAGCCCCAGAGAUGGGUGUGCCUCUUUUGGGGUCGGUUCACAGGUGGUGCAUGGCUGUCGUCAGCUCGUGUCGUGAGAUGUUGGGUUAAGUCCCGCAACGAGCGCAACCCUUGCUCACUGUUGCCAGCACGUUAUGGUGGGGACUCAGUGGAGACCGCCGGGGUCAACUCGGAGGAAGGUGGGGAUGACGUCAAGUCAUCAUGCCCCUUAUGUCCAGGGCUUCACGCAUGCUACAAUGGCUGGUACAGAGAGUGGCGAGCCUGUGAGGGUGAGCGAAUCUCGGAAAGCCGGUCUCAGUUCGGAUUGGGGUCUGCAACUCGACCUCAUGAAGUCGGAGUCGCUAGUAAUCGCAGAUCAGCAACGC
This 1185-nucleotide ribosomal RNA is filed under the name uncultured Bifidobacterium sp. Its description in RNAcentral is "bacterial SSU rRNA". It matches the Rfam family "Bacterial small subunit ribosomal RNA", at positions 173 to 1357 of the family's 1533-position model. Lineage: Bacteria; Bacillati; Actinomycetota; Actinomycetes; Bifidobacteriales; Bifidobacteriaceae. The record is from RNAcentral.